GACGGAGGGGGCAAGCGUUGUUCGGAAUUAUUGGGCGUAAAGGGCUCGUAGGCGGAUCCGCCAGUCUGACGUGAAAUCUCCACCGCUCACCGGGGAGGGGCCGUUGGAUACUACGGAUCUGGAGUUCGGCAGAGGACCAUGGAAUUUCGGGUGUAGCGGUGAAAUGCGUAGAUAUCUGGAGGAACACCGGUGGCGAAGGCGGCAUCCUGGACCAACACUGACACUGAGGAGCGAAAGCCAGGGGAGCAAACGGG
This 254-nucleotide ribosomal RNA is filed under the name uncultured bacterium. Its description in RNAcentral is "partial 16S ribosomal RNA". It matches the Rfam family "Bacterial small subunit ribosomal RNA", at positions 524 to 776 of the family's 1533-position model. The record is from RNAcentral.